CUGACAUCCUCUUCAUUUUGCUCUAGCCAUUUUUUGGAACACACAGAAAACAUUGAGAUGCAGAGCACCAAUCCACAUGUUCAUUGCAAGCCGCGACGUCGGAAGUUCGAAUCCAGCCAUCUGACAUUUGUCACAUCUUCCCCUCUCUCACUUCCAUUCUUCCUGUCUCUCUACGCCAUUCUAUCCAUUAAACCACAAAAAAAAAUCUAAAUAAAAGAAUUCUGUAUCGCAA
Long non-coding RNA from Conger conger (European conger), 232 nucleotides. RefSeq lists it as uncharacterized. NCBI's taxonomy places the organism in Eukaryota, Metazoa, Chordata, Actinopteri, Anguilliformes, Congridae. The transcript is spliced from 2 exons. The record is from RefSeq and is a predicted model, not a curated record.